Molecule: ribosomal RNA, 468 nt
Filed under: uncultured bacterium
Lineage: Bacteria
Description: partial 16S ribosomal RNA
Rfam family: Bacterial small subunit ribosomal RNA
Source: RNAcentral
GACGAACGCUGGCGGCGUGCUUAGCACAUGCAAGUCGAACGGAAAGGCCCUGCUUUUGUGGGGUGCUCGAGUGGCGAACGGGUGAGUAACACGUGAGUAACCUGCCCUUGACUUUGGGAUAACUUCAGGAAACUGGGGCUAAUACCGGAUAGGAGCUCCUGCUGCAUGGUGGGGGUUGGAAAGUUUCGGCGGUUGGGGAUGGACUCGCGGCUUAUCAGCUUGUUGGUGGGGUAGUGGCUUACCAAGGCUUUGACGGGUAGCCGGCCCGAGAGGGUGACCGGCCACAUUGGGACUGAGAUACGGCCCAGACUCCUACGGGAGGCAGCAGUGGGGAAUAUUGCACAAUGGGCGGAAGCCUGAUGCAGCAACGCCGCGUGCGGGAUGACGGCCUUCGGGUUGUAAACCGCUUUCGCCUGUGACGAAGCGUGAGUGACGGUAAUGGGUAAAGAAGCACCGGCUAACUACGUG